This 514-nucleotide ribosomal RNA is filed under the name uncultured bacterium. RNAcentral's name for it is "partial 16S ribosomal RNA". It matches the Rfam family "Bacterial small subunit ribosomal RNA", at positions 29 to 523 of the family's 1533-position model. The record is from RNAcentral.
AACGAACGCUGGCGGCGUGCCUAAUACAUGCAAGUCGUACGAGAAAGUCACUUCGGUGGCGAGUAGAGUGGCGCACGGGUGAGUAACACGUAGGUGACCUCCCUUAUAGAGUGGGAUAACAGUAAGAAAUUAUUGCUAAUACCGCAUAGCUUUAUGAAUUGGAAUAAAUAAAGGAAAGAUGGCCUCUACUGUUAAGCCAUCGCUAUAGGAAGGGCCUGCGGCCCAUUAGCUAGUUGGGGAGGUAAUGGCUCACCAAGGCAUUGAUGGGUAGCCGGGCUGAGAGGAUGAUCGGCCACACUGGAACUGAGACACGGUCCAGACUCCUACGGGAGGCAGCAGUAGGGAAUAUUGCGCAAUGGGCGAAAGCCUGACGCAGCAACGCCGCGUGAGUGAGGAAGGCCUUAGGGUUGUAAAGCUCUGUCGUAAGGGAAAAACAGUAUAUAUUUAAUAGAUAUGUGCCUGAUGGUACCUUAAAAGAAAGCACCGGCUAACUUCGUGCCAGCCGCCGCAGUAA